This 254-nucleotide ribosomal RNA is filed under the name uncultured Synergistaceae bacterium. RNAcentral describes it as "partial 16S ribosomal RNA". It matches the Rfam family "Bacterial small subunit ribosomal RNA", at positions 796 to 1041 of the family's 1533-position model. The record is from RNAcentral. Lineage: Bacteria; Thermotogati; Synergistota; Synergistia; Synergistales; Synergistaceae.
CUGGCCGUAAACGAUGGAUGCCAGGUGUGCGUGCAGAGAUGCAUACGUGCCGCAGUCAACGCGAUAAGCAUCCCGCCUGGGGAGUACGGUCGCAAGAUUGAAACUCAAAGGAAUUGACGGGGGCCCGCACAAGCGGUGGAGCACGUGGUUUAAUUCGAUGCAAACCGAAGAACCUUACCCGGGUUUGACAUGCGCGUGGUACCGAGAUGAAAGUCGAGGGACCCGUUCGUAAGGAUGGGAGCGCGCACAGGUGC